This 448-nucleotide ribosomal RNA is filed under the name uncultured bacterium. RNAcentral describes it as "partial 16S ribosomal RNA". It matches the Rfam family "Bacterial small subunit ribosomal RNA", at positions 329 to 794 of the family's 1533-position model. The record is from RNAcentral.
GUCCAGACUCCUACGGGAGGCAGCAGUGGGGAAUAUUGCACAAUGGGGGAAACCCUGAUGCAGCGACGCCGCGUGGGCGAUGAAGUAUUUCGGUAUGUAAAGCUCUAUCAGCAGGGAAGAAAAUGACGGUACCUGACUAAGAAGCCCCGGCUAACUACGUGCCAGCAGCCGCGGUAAUACGUAGGUGGCAAGCGUUGUCCGGAUUUACUGGGUGUAAAGGGCGUGUAGCCGGGUUGACAAGUCAGAUGUGAAAUCCUGCGGCUUAACCGCAGAACUGCAUUUGAAACUGUUGAUCUUGAGUACUGGAGAGGCAGACGGAAUUCCUAGUGUAGCGGUGAAAUGCGUAGAUAUUAGGAGGAACACCAGUGGCGAAGGCGGCCUGCUGGGCUUUAACUGACGCUGAGGCUCGAAAGCGUGGGGAGCAAACAGGAUUAGAUACCCCAGUAAU